UUUUUAAAAACAUCGCCUCCUGCAAUAAAACCAAGUAUAGGAGGUCCAGCCUGCCCAGUGACAAUAAGUUCAACGGCCGCGGUAUUUUGACCGUGCAAAGGUAGCGCAAUCACUUGUCUUUUAAAUAAAGACCUGUAUGAAAGGCUAGACGAGGGCUUAACUGUCUCCCAUUUCCAGUCAGUGAAAUUGAUCUAUCCGUGCAGAAGCGGGUAUAAUAAUACAAGACGAGAAGACCCUAUGGAGCUUAAGGCACAAAACUCACCCAUGUUAAACAAUUCAAUGAAAACUUUAAACUUUGUGGUAAAUGAGAUAAUGCCUUCGGUUGGGGCGACAAUGGAGGAGAAAAAAGCCUCCAAGUGGAAUGGGGUUAAUCCCUAAAGCCGAAAGGAACACCUUUAAGCCACAGAAAAUCUGACCAUAAUUGAUCCGGCCUAUAUGACCGACCAACGAACCAAGUUACCCAAGGGAUAACAGCGCAAUCCUCUCCCAGAGCCCAUAUCGACGAGGGGGUUUACGACCUCGAUGUUGGAUCAGGACAUCCUAAUGGUGCAGCCGCUAUUAAGGGUUCGUUUGUUCAACGAUUAAAGUCCUACGUGAUCUGAGUU
RNAcentral lists this ribosomal RNA (605 nucleotides) under Puntius arenatus (stigma barb). RNAcentral describes it as "partial 16S ribosomal RNA". It matches the Rfam family "Bacterial large subunit ribosomal RNA", at positions 1804 to 2611 of the family's 2925-position model. The record is from RNAcentral. Lineage: Eukaryota; Metazoa; Chordata; Actinopteri; Cypriniformes; Cyprinidae.